This 599-nucleotide ribosomal RNA is filed under the name Pipistrellus pipistrellus (common pipistrelle). RNAcentral describes it as "partial 16S ribosomal RNA". It matches the Rfam family "Bacterial large subunit ribosomal RNA", at positions 1796 to 2620 of the family's 2925-position model. Lineage: Eukaryota; Metazoa; Chordata; Mammalia; Chiroptera; Vespertilionidae. The record is from RNAcentral.
UCGCCUGUUUUAACAAAAACAUCACCUCUAGCAUAAUAAGUAUUAGAGGCACUGCCUGCCCGGUGACUUCAGUUCAACGGCCGCGGUAUCCUGACCGUGCAAAGGUAGCAUAAUCACUUGUUCCCUAAAUAGGGACUUGUAUGAAUGGCUCCACGAGGGUUUCGCUGUCUCUUGCUUCAAAUCAGUGAAAUUGACAUUCCCGUGAAGAGGCGGGAAUUCAAAAAUAAGACGAGAAGACCCUAUGGAGCUUUAAUUAACUAACUCACAUAAUUCACAACCAAUCCCUCUACAGAGGACAAAUUUACUUUAACUGAGUUAGAAAUUUGGGUUGGGGUGACCUCGGAAUAAAACUUAACCUCCGAGAAAGAUCAAUUAAGACCUACAAGUCGAAAUUAUGUAAUAGUACACUGAUCCGUCAACGACGAUCAACGAAAUAAGUUACCCUAGGGAUAACAGCGCAAUCCUAUUUAAGAGUCCAUAUCGACAAUUAGGGUUUACGACCUCGAUGUUGGAUCAGGACAUCCCAAUGGUGCAGCAGCUAUUAAUGUGUUCGUUUGUUCAACGAUUAAAGUCCUACGUGAUCUUGAGUCCAAACCGGA